Molecule: non-coding RNA, 100 nt
Filed under: Saccharibacillus sacchari
Lineage: Bacteria; Bacillati; Bacillota; Bacilli; Caryophanales; Paenibacillaceae
Also listed under: 1 other name
Description: Guanine sequence
Rfam family: Purine riboswitch aptamer
About the family: Riboswitches are metabolite binding domains within certain messenger RNAs that serve as precision sensors for their corresponding targets.
Source: RNAcentral
ACCGACAAUUGAAAUAGUGUUCGUAUAAUUCCGGGGAUAGGCUCGGAAGUCUCUACGUGAUCACCGAAAUGAUCUCUCUACGAAACGGGAAAAAGCGAGC